Molecule: long non-coding RNA, 461 nt
Filed under: Anolis carolinensis (green anole)
Lineage: Eukaryota; Metazoa; Chordata; Lepidosauria; Squamata; Anolidae
Description: lncRNA (ENSACAG00000039340.1)
Source: RNAcentral
GUUGUGAAGUUUCCGGGCUGUUCUGUCCCUUCUGUUUCUUGACUCUGAGUGGCCUGAGUUGUCGAAGGCUUUCAUGUCCGGAAUUGCUGAGUUACUAACUGGACCAGUAGAAAUAAUGAUCAAUGGAAACCAAGGCAGCUGAAACAGCCACGAUCAAGAUGAUUGCAUCUUUCACAACUGAAUCUGAAAUUAGAGAUCCUUAUGGUUACAGACCUGCUCUCCAAUGCAUGUAUUUGCUGAAGUCCACUUGUCGAUGCAUGUCCAGAAUCAGCAGCAUCCACCGCGGUACUUUUUAUCUUGGGCGAUAACUGAGCCAGUACAGACUUCGUUUUGGUUUGUUUCUCCAUAGUGCUAAUGGGUUAGGUGCUCUUAGUUCCACUCCUCAACUGAGACUUCUCAGGCUUGGUUGGACCUGCCAGUAGUUACACAACUGUCAGCAGAGCUCUCAGUGUCCUUGGAGC